RNAcentral lists this microRNA precursor (104 nucleotides) under Xyrichtys novacula (pearly razorfish). The record is from RNAcentral. Lineage: Eukaryota; Metazoa; Chordata; Actinopteri; Labriformes; Labridae.
ACCUGGUUAUAUCCUGAGAUAUUACCUGGUUUUAACCUAGUUAUAUCCUGAGACAUUACCUGGUUAUAACCUGGUUAUAACCUGGUUAUAUCCUGAGACAUUAC